This 497-nucleotide ribosomal RNA is filed under the name uncultured bacterium. RNAcentral's name for it is "partial 16S ribosomal RNA". It matches the Rfam family "Bacterial small subunit ribosomal RNA", at positions 28 to 507 of the family's 1533-position model. The record is from RNAcentral.
GGUGAACGCUGGCGGCGUGCCUAAUACAUGCAAGUCGAGCGAACAGACGAGGAGCUUGCUCCUCUGACGUUAGCGGCGGACGGGUGAGUAACACGUGGAUAACCUACCUAUAAGACUGGGAUAACUUCGGGAAACCGGAGCUAAUACCGGAUAAUAUAUUGAACCGCAUGGUUCAAUAGUGAAAGACGGUUUUGCUGUCGCUUAUAGAUGGAUCCGCGCCGCAUUAGCUAGUUGGUAAGGUAACGGCUUACCAAGGCAACGAUGCGUAGCCGACCUGAGAGGGUGAUCGGCCACACUGGAACUGAGACACGGUCCAGACUCCUACGGGAGGCAGCAGUAGGGAAUCUUCCGCAAUGGGCGAAAGCUUGACGGAGCAACGCCGCGUGAGUGAUGAAGGUCUUCGGAUCGUAAAACUCUGUUAUUAGGGAAGAACAAAUGUGUAAGUAACUAUGCACGUCUUGACGGUACCUAAUCAGAAAGCCACGGCUAACUACGUG